CGCCCUAGCAGCGGGCUCCAGGGGAGGUGCCGGGCUCCAGCUGGAGUUGGGCUCUCAGCGCUGUGGGGAACUAGCAGCCCCGUGGCGCGGCUGCGCUGGGCUGAGCUGCCGUCAGGCUCCUAGCGCUGGGGGCUAAAGGCGGGUGGAGGCGCUGCGGCUCAAAGCGAUGCCGCAGGGCCGCAGAGCUCCGUUUAAAGUGGGAAACCACAGUGCUGCCCUCUGUCUGACUCCCCUCUUAGGUGUCGUCAUCACCCCCUCCAGACCAGCAGCCUGGCCCAUGGGCCCCUAUCUCCAUGCCCUCUCAGGAGCCUCAGCCCUGGAGGGAAUCCCCCUGCUUGUCCCACCCAGCUCCCUGCCAUACCCCUCCCGGCUGGCAACCUUCACCCGGGAAGGUAGCGCUCGAGAGGUGCAGGAACACUCCAGUAUGGUGCUCCUUCCCUUCUGAUGGGUGCAACAAAGUAGGGACACCAGGCCCCCUCAUUGGGUGCCUUUAAAUAGAGCGAUCCAGCAGCUGCCACCUCCCCUCCCAGCCAAACCCAAGACAGCAGCCCCUCCACCACCAGUGCUGCCUUGUCCGAGGAAGGGCUUGGACCUUCAGUCCCCUCCUAAGCUGCAGUGCUGGGAUGAGGUAAUAGCCCUUUACUGUGGCACAGGCCGAAGGGCUCUGGCAGAAGAAUAGUGACCCCCACCCUUUUACUGCCCAUGAGUAAGUCAACCUGGACCGGUGCCGGCAGGAAUCCAACAAAAAAAUGACCUUGGGAGCACAGCCUCCCUCUUUGUUAUUGGUGGCAGAAUGGUUGAGAAGAAUUAGGAAGUGUCCAAGAAGAACUAAGGAGGACUUUAUGCAUGAGAUUAUGAUGCACUCCACCGCUGAGAAACAGGAAUUGAAGGAGUGGCAGGACAGCGAGAAGAGGGAACGAAAGGAGAACGCGGCACACCAGAAAGAAGCCACGGAGUGGCUCUUAACAGUUAUGGAGCGCCAAGCAGACAUGCUCCAGGUGAUGCUAGCUCUUGAAACCGAGCAGCUCCACGCCCGCCCUCCCCUGCAGCCUCUGCUGAACUCUUUCCCAUGCACCCCUCCCACACCACCAGCACACUCUUAUCAACCUCCUGGCUCCACUCUUUACCCGCA
Mauremys reevesii (Reeves's turtle) is the source of this 1132-nucleotide long non-coding RNA. RefSeq lists it as uncharacterized. Lineage: Eukaryota; Metazoa; Chordata; Testudines; Geoemydidae. The transcript is spliced from 3 exons. The record is from RefSeq and is a predicted model, not a curated record.